CGAUAUAAUAUCAAUGGGUGUACAUGCAAUUUUUUGGCAUUUUUCAAAAUGUGUAUUUAUUAUAUGUCAUUAAAAGGAAUCCCAGAAACAAAAAAAAAAUCUUUUGUCGAGCAGUUGAAGGCUGUGCACCGCAUGUCUUUUGGCAAAUUCAUUUUAAAAAUUGAACCCUCUACUGUAAAAAGAUACAUAUGGUAAUCUUUGCAUUUGAAGCACGUCUUAUUUUCUUCUACCUAUAGGAUAAAACUUUCAUAUUAAUAUGUGUAUACCAAC
RNAcentral lists this long non-coding RNA (270 nucleotides) under Mytilus galloprovincialis (Mediterranean mussel). Lineage: Eukaryota; Metazoa; Mollusca; Bivalvia; Mytilida; Mytilidae. The record is from RNAcentral.